Molecule: long non-coding RNA, 450 nt
Filed under: Astyanax mexicanus (Mexican tetra)
Lineage: Eukaryota; Metazoa; Chordata; Actinopteri; Characiformes; Acestrorhamphidae
Description: lncRNA (ENSAMXG00005025020.1)
Source: RNAcentral
UUAAUAGUACGAAUGCAUAACUGAAGUGAACAAGGGUGUCCUGAUGUCUUGGCAGUGGGGAAAGUACCUAAGUAAACAAAACUGUAAUUCUUAAAAAAAAAAGUCAAACGAGUGCUGGAUGUUAAUCUACACAGAUUUCUUCCCUGAAUGGUUUAUUUGGCUAAGUAAAGCACUUCCGUUUAUUUACAAUAAACUUAUAAUUUCCAGUAUUUUGUCCAAAGAUUGGGAAUCUGGAGGGGCAUUACACACUCAAAGGCAAUGCCAGCAGCCCAACACUGGACCGCACACUGGCUCUCCACACUGGGGUGAAGUGGGUCCAGAGGCAGAGCACACACCACAGGGCGAGAAGAGCCGCUACAGCAGCCCUGCACAACAACACACACUACAGUCAGUACAGCUGUGUGUGUGUGUAUGUGUGUGUGUGUGUGUGUGUUUGUGCAUGUCUGUGUG